UAGUCUGUUGAUUUUUAUAAUAGGUGUUUUCUGCCCAGUGUUAAAAUAAAUGGCCGCGGUAUUUUGACCGUGCAAAGGUAGCAUAAUCAUUUGUCCUUUAAUUGGGGGCUGGUAUGAAAGAAAGUUUGGGGCCUGAUCUGUCUCUUUUUUAUGUUAGAAUUUGUUGUUCUUGUGAAGAAACAGGGGUUUUUGAAAAAGACAAGAAGACCCUUUUAAGCUUUAUUUUUUUUCUGUCUCUCUUCUUCUUUUAAGUAUUUUAGUGAGGUGGGAGGAAUUUGGUUGGGGUGACUGAAGUAGAUUUUAAUCUACUUUAGUUGUAUAAAACUUUAAGUUUAAUAAUGACCCAGAGUUAUUUUGGUUGAAAGAAUUAGUUACUAAAGGGAUAACAGCGUAAUCUUUUCAGAGAGUUCAUAUUGAAGAAGGGGAUUGCGACCUCGAUGUUGACUUAUUAUAUCCUUUUAGGGCGCAGGUGCUAGUAGGGUUGGUCUGUUCGACCAUUAAAAUAGU
This 507-nucleotide ribosomal RNA is filed under the name Cerebratulus formosus. Its description in RNAcentral is "partial 16S rRNA". It matches the Rfam family "Bacterial large subunit ribosomal RNA", at positions 1827 to 2597 of the family's 2925-position model. Lineage: Eukaryota; Metazoa; Nemertea; Pilidiophora; Heteronemertea; Lineidae. The record is from RNAcentral.